RNAcentral lists this ribosomal RNA (255 nucleotides) under uncultured bacterium. RNAcentral's name for it is "partial 16S ribosomal RNA". It matches the Rfam family "Bacterial small subunit ribosomal RNA", at positions 524 to 776 of the family's 1533-position model. The record is from RNAcentral.
UACGUAGGGUGCGAGCGUUGUCCGGAAUUAUUGGGCGUAAAGAGCUUGUAGGCGGUUUUGUCGCGUCUGCUGUGAAAAUCCGGGGCUCAACCCCGGACUUGCAGUGGGUACGGGCAGACUGGAGUGUGGUAGGGGGAGACUGGAAUUCCUGGUGUAGCGGUGGAAUGCGCAGAUAUCAGGAGGAACACCGAUGGCGAAGGCAGGUCUCUGGGCAAUAACUGACGCUGAGGAGCGAAAGCGUGGGGAGCGAACAGG